Molecule: small RNA, 70 nt
Filed under: Xanthomonas axonopodis
Lineage: Bacteria; Pseudomonadati; Pseudomonadota; Gammaproteobacteria; Lysobacterales; Lysobacteraceae
Also listed under: 21 other names
Description: sX9 sRNA
Rfam family: Xanthomonas sRNA sX9
Source: RNAcentral
AUGCACUCCAUUCCGGUUCCUCCGCGAUGUCCGCGCCCACCUGACAACCGCUCGCUCCGUUUUGUCGGCC